RNAcentral lists this small RNA (105 nucleotides) under Paenibacillus sp. Its description in RNAcentral is "Guanidine-I sequence". It matches the Rfam family "Guanidine-I riboswitch aptamer". From Rfam's summary of the family: This family represents a conserved RNA structure found upstream of the ykkC and yxkD genes in Bacillus subtilis and related genes in other bacteria. The function of this family is unclear although it has been suggested that it may function to switch on efflux pumps and detoxification systems in response to harmful environmental molecules. The record is from RNAcentral. Lineage: Bacteria; Bacillati; Bacillota; Bacilli; Caryophanales; Paenibacillaceae.
UACAUGGUUUUCUAGGGUUCCGCGAGGGCAUGACAGCCUCGGUCUGGACCAAGAGAAAACGCACAGCUAACCCUGUGUUCACGGAGGGAUAAAAGCCCGGGAGGA